RNAcentral lists this ribosomal RNA (450 nucleotides) under uncultured bacterium. RNAcentral describes it as "partial 16S ribosomal RNA". It matches the Rfam family "Bacterial small subunit ribosomal RNA", at positions 354 to 796 of the family's 1533-position model. The record is from RNAcentral.
GUGGGGAAUUUUGGACAAUGGGCGCAAGCCUGAUCCAGCAAUGCCGCGUGCAGGAAGAAGGCCUUCGGGUUGUAAACUGCUUUUGUACGGAACGAAACGGUCCUGGUUAAUACCUGGGGCUAAUGACGGUACCGUAAGAAUAAGCACCGGCUAACUACGUGCCAGCAGCCGCGGUAAUACGUAGGGUGCAAGCGUUAAUCGGAAUUACUGGGCGUAAAGCGUGCGCAGGCGGUGAUGUAAGAGAGAUGUGAAAGCCCCGGGCUCAACCUGGGAACUGCAUUGGUGACUGCAUUGCUGGAGUGCGGCAGAGGGGGAUGGAAUUCCGCGUGUAGCAGUGAAAUGCGUAGAUAUGCGGAGGAACACCGAUGGCGAAGGCAAUCCCCUGGGCCUGCACUGACGCUCAUGCACGAAAGCGUGGGGAGCAAACAGGAUUAGAAACCCGUGUAGUCC